This 589-nucleotide ribosomal RNA is filed under the name Amazonian soil bacterium P19b. RNAcentral's name for it is "bacterial SSU rRNA". It matches the Rfam family "Bacterial small subunit ribosomal RNA", at positions 1 to 588 of the family's 1533-position model. The record is from RNAcentral.
GGUGCAUGGCCGCGGGAUUUGCAGAGUUUGAUCCUGGCUCAGGACGAACGCUGGCGGCGUGCUUAACACAUGCAAGUCGAGCGGAAAGGCCCUUUCGGGGGUACUCGAGCGGCGAACGGGUGAGUAACACGUGAGUAAUCUGCCCUUGGCUUCGGGAUAACUACUGGAAACGGUGGCUAAUACCGGAUACGACCAACUUCGGCAUCGGAUGUUGGUGGAAAGUUUUUUCGGCCAGGGAUGUGCUCGCGGCCUAUCAGCUUGUUGGUGGGGUAAUGGCCUACCAAGGCUUCGACGGGUAGCCGGCCUGAGAGGGUGACCGGCCACACUGGGACUGAGACACGGCCCAGACUCCUACGGGAGGCAGCAGUGGGGAAUAUUGGACAAUGGGCGGAAGCCUGAUCCAGCAACGCCGCGUGAGGGAUGACGCCUUCGGGUUGUAAACCUCUUUCAGUACCGACGAANCGCCGAUGAUGGUGGUGACGGUAGGUACAGAAAAACACCGGCCAACUACUNCCACACCGCGGUAAUACNUAGGUGCGAGCUUGUCCGGAAUUAUUGGGCUUAAAGGCUCGUAGGCGGUUUGUCCCUC